UCCUACGGGAGGCAGCAGUGGGGAAUAUUGGACAAUGGGCGCAAGCCUGAUCCAGCCAUACCGCGUGGGUGAAGAAGGCCUUCGGUUGUAAGCCUUUGUUGGGAAGAAAUCCAGCCGGCUAAUACCUGGUUGGGAUGACGGUACCCAAAGAAUAAGCACCGGCUAACUUCGUGCCAGCAGCCGCGGUA
This 188-nucleotide ribosomal RNA is filed under the name uncultured Stenotrophomonas sp. Its description in RNAcentral is "partial 16S ribosomal RNA". It matches the Rfam family "Bacterial small subunit ribosomal RNA", at positions 337 to 522 of the family's 1533-position model. The record is from RNAcentral. Lineage: Bacteria; Pseudomonadati; Pseudomonadota; Gammaproteobacteria; Lysobacterales; Lysobacteraceae.